CCUACGGGAGGCAGCAGUAGGGAAUCUUCCACAAUGGGCGAAAGCCUGAUGGAGCAACGCCGCGUGGGUGAAGAAGGUCUUCGGAUCGUAAAACCCUGUUGUUAGAGAAGAAAGUGCGUGAGAGUAACUGUUCACGUUUCGACGGUAUCUAACCAGAAAGCCACGGCUAACUACGUGCCAGCAGCCGCGGUAAUACGUAGGUGGCAAGCGUUAUCCGGAUUUAUUGGGCGUAAAGGGAACGCAGGCGGUCUUUUAAGUCUGAUGUGAAAGGCUUCGGUUUAACCGGAGUAGUGCAUUGGAAACUGGGAGACUUGAGUGCAGAAGAGGAGAGUGGAACUCCAUGUGUAGCGGUGAAAUGCGUAGAUAUAUGGAAGAACACCAGUGGCGAAAGCGGCUCUCUGGUCUGUAACUGACGCUGAGGUUCGAAAGCGUGGGUAGCAAACAGGAUUAGAUACCCGAGUAGUC
RNAcentral lists this ribosomal RNA (465 nucleotides) under uncultured bacterium. RNAcentral's name for it is "partial 16S ribosomal RNA". It matches the Rfam family "Bacterial small subunit ribosomal RNA", at positions 338 to 795 of the family's 1533-position model. The record is from RNAcentral.